CAGCCUCGCCCAGCUGUCCACCCGGCCGCAGGACUCGCUUGUGACCCAGGCGGGCCACUCACAGUCACGCACCGUGAAAUGCCUACUGGGUGUCGCCCGCCGUCUUAGGCGCGGGGACACGGCGUGGAGGGACAGGCAUGGUCCCGGGCCUGGGGGACCGGAGUGCUGGGAGGGGCCAUCGCGGUGGCACCUUCGCACCCUCACCUCCUUCCAGCCUUAGCUCGGUCGGCGUCUGCGUUCACCCUACGAUGAGGAAACCGAGGCUCUGAACGAUCGGCUGGCGCUAGUAUCACACAGCUGAGGUUUGUCCGUGGCCCAGCUUUCCUCCCAAAGCCUGAGUAAUGUAGAAAAAUCGCAGCCCAGCAUAAACGAGUCAGCCUAGGGGCCACCCGGGAUCACGCUGGCAAGCGGAAUUCUUGGCUCAAUCACUCCGAAGAGAAGAGAAGAGAAGAAAAUGGUAUAUGAUGAAGUCUCCUUCCCUCCCCUUUUCCCCUCGUGUCUGGCUUCCUACCUCACCUCCAUCUCAGGUACGAUUGUUGUUUUUCUCGUGUAUGCUCUUCCAGAGGUGUUUAUGCACAUGUAAACAGGUACAAGUAUCUCUGUAAACCCUCCCCCCACUUUACCCAAAGGUAGCAACACAAAAGGGUGUUUUGAGCAUACUGUUCUAUACCUUGUUUUGUGCGAUCAUGAAGUAGAUUGUGGAACUAUGCAUAGCAGUACACAGAGAGAAGGCCCCCCUCCCCUCUCUGUCUUCCCAGCUGCAGACUUCUCCACGGCACACCUUUAUCAUCAUCUAUUCAAUGGGGGGACUUCUGCUGCCACAAAUAAAGCUCAGUGAAUAACCUUGAAUAUAUUUUGCACACACUUGAGUAUGUCUAUAGCAGUGGCCAUGGGCUCCAGCUGCACAUGAGAAUGACGAAGGGGGCUUUUAAAAAUCCCACCCCCAAGCCAUACCUCAGAUCAAGUACAUCAGAAUCCCCGAGCCUGGGACCAGGGCACACAGGGAGCCCUGUGUGCUGUUGACAUCUAGAGGAAACUGGUCGCGAGCACAUAGACUUCUAAAUUUGCUAGAUAUUGACAAAUGGCUUCCAUGGAUGGUUCUACCAACUUGCCGUCUCACUGGCUUAUAUGAGAGGCCUGGGUGUUCACAGCCUCACUAACAAAACAUGCUUGUCAAACUUUGCUUUUUGCUAACCUGCUAGUUUUUUUUUUUUAAGAUAUCACAGUUUUGCUUUAAUUUGCAUUUUUCUUAUUAGGGCUUGAGAUUGAACAUCUUCUCAUGUGUUUAAGAGCCUUCUGAUCUGUCUGGUCAUAUCCUGUGCCCACUUUCCUUUUCUCUCUUUUUUUUUUUGGCCGUGCCACAUGCCUUGCAGGAUCUUAGUUCCCUGACCAGGGAUUGAACCCUGGGCCCCACGCAGUGGAAACAGAGAGUCCUAACCACUGGACCGCCAGGGAAUUCCCUCUUUUCUCUUUUUUAGGUUGGUUUCUCUACACGUCAGCAAGACAAAUUCUUUGUGAUUUGAGUUGCAAAUACUUUCUACUGCCUUGCCUUUUGUUUUGUUUUGUUUUUUCCCAUUGAAGAAGACUUUUUACAUAUUUGAAUGUAUCCAUCUUUUGUUAUGGCUUCUGUGGUUUUUUGUUUUGUUUUGUUUUUUCCGUACCACGGGCCCAGCCGCUCCGCGGCAUGUGGGACCUUCCCGAACCGGGGCACGAACCCGUGUCCCCUGCAUCGGCAGGCGGACUCUCAACCACUGCGCCACCAGGGAAGCCCCGCUUCUGUGUUUUGAGUCAUCGUUAGAAAGACCUUUCUCAUUCUGGUCUUAUAAAGGAAGCUUCCCACGUUUUCUUCUGGCACUUUGUGGUUUCCUUAAUUUACAGGCAAAUCUUUGAUCCUUUUGGCAUUUACCCUGAUCUGUGGUGUGAGGUAUGGAUCCAUCUUUGUUCUUCUUUCUAGUGGCUGAUGGUCCCAUUACCUUUAUCAAGAAGUAAGGUAGGAGCUGCAUCAAACUGGAAUUUCUUUGUUUUUGUCUUUGUAUUUAUAGCAACAUCAGCUCCCACUUUCCUGUAAAUGUGGUCCCAUCCACCCCCUCCCCCCAUUUACCUGUUCGAUGCUUGAUCGGUUGAUUUUUGUUUGUUUGCCAUUGAGAAUUUUAUUACUAAUCGGACAUUGUUCUGACCUUUGGGGUUUCUAUUUAGGAUUUAUUUUAGUUAAUAACCAACAACGAUGACCUUUUGUUGAAGGUCUAAUAUAUCUGUUUAUAAGUAUCGGUUCCAUUAAUCAUAAAGCAAACCUAUGGUGUCAGUACUAUUAUUAUUCCAUUGGAGGAAAGUAAUCAGAGAGCUUUUCAGCCUUGUCCAAGGGCCCACAGUUAAAAAGAGGCAGGGCUAGAUGCAAUGCAAGAGCCAGGUCUCUGGGGUCUGGGCUUUUUACUUGCCUUGACCCUGUAACUCAUCUUUGUGGAAUGAUUGCAGGAAGGAAUGAAUGAGUGAGUCAGUGAGGGCAGAAAGAAGACAGAAUGAGUCAGCUCCUGCCCUCGGAGGAACCCAAAGGGGGAGAUAAACUGUGAAUGCCAAUAACCGGAACACAAAGUAAACAGUGAUCCCACCAGCAUUUUGGAAGCAGUCCACUUUCUAUUCCCUCCUAUUUAAAAACGCUUAAUUCUUUCCAAUUCCUCCCUACCUAGAAACCAGGGAGCCAUACACUGGGGCAGGGGCAGUCUCCUUGGGUUUGAUGCAUUAAGUCACCCACUUGGAGAUCCCCUGUGGAGCCCAGCAGCCUGGU
Long non-coding RNA from Aethalodelphis obliquidens (Pacific white-sided dolphin), 2782 nucleotides. RefSeq lists it as uncharacterized. The record is from RefSeq and is a predicted model, not a curated record. Lineage: Eukaryota; Metazoa; Chordata; Mammalia; Artiodactyla; Delphinidae. The transcript is spliced from 4 exons.